RNAcentral lists this transfer RNA (67 nucleotides) under Forpus passerinus (green-rumped parrotlet). RNAcentral describes it as "tRNA-Cys". Lineage: Eukaryota; Metazoa; Chordata; Aves; Psittaciformes; Psittacidae. The record is from RNAcentral.
GACUCUGUAGUGAAGUUCAUGUUGAGUUGCAAACUCAUUGAUAUGUGUUUGAAGCACAUCAGAGUCU